Molecule: ribosomal RNA, 468 nt
Filed under: uncultured bacterium
Lineage: Bacteria
Description: partial 16S ribosomal RNA
Rfam family: Bacterial small subunit ribosomal RNA
Source: RNAcentral
GACGAACGCUGGCGGCGUGCUUAACACAUGCAAGUCGAACGGAAAGGCCCUGCUUUUGUGGGGUGCUCGAGUGGCGAACGGGUGAGUAACACGUGAGUAACCUGCCCUUGACUUUGGGAUAACUUCAGGAAACUGGGGCUAAUACCGGAUAGGAGCUCCUGCCGCAUGGUGGGGGUUGGAAAGUUUCGGCGGUUGGGGAUGGACUCGCGGCUUAUCAGCUUGUUGGUGGGGUAGUGGCUUACCAAGGCUUUGACGGGUAGCCGGCCUGAGAGGGUGACCGGCCACAUUGGGACUGAGAUACGGCCCAGACUCCUACGGGAGGCAGCAGUGGGGAAUAUUGCACAAUGGGCGGAAGCCUGAUGUAGCAACGCCGCGUGCGGGAUGACGGCCUUCGGGUUGUAAACCGCUUUCGCCUGUGACGAAGCGUGAGUGACGGUAAUGGGUAAAGAAGCACCGGCUAACUACGUG